Molecule: ribosomal RNA, 446 nt
Filed under: uncultured Sphingobacteriales bacterium
Lineage: Bacteria; Pseudomonadati; Bacteroidota; Sphingobacteriia; Sphingobacteriales
Description: bacterial SSU rRNA
Rfam family: Bacterial small subunit ribosomal RNA
Source: RNAcentral
AGGAGCAUGUGGUUAAUUCGAUGAUACGCGAGGAACCUACCUGGGCUCGAACGUAAGAUGACUGUAGGUGAAAGCUUACAUCUCUUCGGAGCAUUUACGAGGUGCUGCAUGGUUGUCGUCAGCUCGUGCCGUGAGGUGUCGGGUUAACGUCCCAUAACGAGCGCAACCCCUACCUUUAGUUGCCAUCAGGUAAUGCUGGGGACUCUAAAGGAACUGCCUACGCAAGUAGUGAGGAAGGCGGGGAUGACGUCAAAUCAGCACGGCCCUUACGUCCAGGGCUACACACGUGCUACAAUGGCCGAUACAGAGGGCAGCUACCUGGUGACAGGAUGCAAAUCUCCAAAGUCGGUCUCAGUUCGGAUCGGAGUCUGCAACCCGACUCCAUGAAGUUGGAAUCGCUAGUAAUCGUGGAUCAGCAUGCCACGGUGAAUACGUUCCCGGGCCUU